Molecule: long non-coding RNA, 2785 nt
Organism: Homo sapiens (human)
Lineage: Eukaryota; Metazoa; Chordata; Mammalia; Primates; Hominidae
Gene: LETR1
Product: lymphatic endothelial transcriptional regulator lncRNA 1
Source: Ensembl
GAUGCAUCUUCAAGUUAACUAGUACCUGUCUGUUCUUCUACAUUGUACAUUAGAUAACUCACCAACUCCUCAGAAGACUGAAGCCUCAGCAGGUGUUGGCACUGUCACAUGUUAGCAUUCCUGAUCUACAUUUUGAUGAGUCCCAAAUUAGCGGAGUUUGUUGCUGUGAAGUUAGUUUUCUUAGUUAACCAUAGCAUAUCCCCAGUUUAAGAUGCAUAAACGGCAUCAUGGCUCACUUGUGAAGUGACUGUUCAAGUCUUUUCCCAUUUAUUAAAUUAGAUGAGUCUGUUACUUUCUAAUUUAUUUGAGAGAUAUUCAAAUGGCAGACUAUAUGAAAAGAUCCAAAAUAGCCUCAGUCUUAAGAAGUAAGCAGUUGCAGGAUACUCAUGUUGUGGAGACCUUAAUCAACUGAAUUGGUUAUGUUUCUAGCUAUAGGAUCACUCAGAGGGAGGGCAGUUAGGCCUUAUGGUUUGACACACUCAGAAGUUAUGUGUAGGGACACUUGAGAUCCAUGUGCACAGCCUCUCCCAUGAGUAAAUGUCAAUCAGGAAAUGUAAAAAACAUCAAACCACUAAAAUUAUUUUUUAGAUACUCCAUAGCUAAUUUUUAAAGUAUCUAAAAAAUAAGAUCCAAAUGAGCAUGAAUGAAUAUCAAGAUAAAAAUAAAUAAAAUGUUCUUAAUAAAGCUAAACAUUUUAAUUUUUUUCAAAAUUUAAUUUCACACUAUUAAAUAUUUUUUUAAAAAUAAAACUAUUUGCAGUGUUUCUAGGAAAUGUCCAUAUGGUUGCCAAUGGGGAAAAAUGGCAACCCCCUUUGUGUAGGUAGAAUUCUAUGAUGAACCCCCAAAUCCUCAUUUUCUGGUGUAUGUGCUCAUUAUAAUCUUCUCCCAAUUGAUUGGGAGUAGAAACAGUGAAUAUGAUAGAAUAUAAUUUCAGUGAUUAUGUUUCCUUAUAAAGCAAAAGAGAUUUUUCCAAAUGUAAUUAAGGUCCCUAAUCAGUUGACUGAGUUGAGUGACAGCAGAUACUCUCCUGCUCUCUUUAAAGAAGUCCCCAUGAGUCCCUACAGCCACAAUAAAUUGAAUUCUGCCAAAAAUCUUAAUAAGCUUGGAAGAAGACCUUCAGCUCCUGAUGAGAACCCAGCCAGAAACAAGAUGAGAACCCAGAAACAAGAUUUUCAUCUUAUUUCAACCUGAGCAGAGAACCCAGAGGAGCCCUGGCCAGAUUUUUGGUCUACAGGAUUGAGAAGACACCUGCCUGAGGGUCUUAUAGCUAAUGGACUGCAGAAGACUUGAGUCAUCAUUCAAAUUCAGUAGCCAUCCUCUGAUGUCCAGUUGAAGAUUGGUGAUUCCAGAAUAGCUCGCAUUGCCCCAGUUGACUUGCCACACAGCUUCUUUCAGGACUUGAAAAUGUCCUAGCCACCCCCAUCUUACCUCCUACUUCCAAUGCCUUUUAAGAUAGAAAACAAAAAACAAAACAACAAAAAAACACCAGCCACCCUUGUGGGUUAGAUAAUCCUACAUCAAGGUGAAUUCUUGAUAACCAGUUCUGUUCUUCCUUAUGUCUUGUAAACAUGCUAAUUAGAAGGAGCUUGUGUUUGAAGAUCAAGGGAGGAAGAAUUCUGAAGCCAGGGCUAGCCUUAGGGGACAUAACUCCUUCCAGUCACUUCCUGAAUUUUUUGGUACCUGGCUUUUGAGAGUCCUCCAAAGUGAGAAUUUCAUGACAUGUAACCUCUCAACACCUGCAUUUUAAAAAAUUGUCCAAAAUACCGCAGAUACCACAGAAAAGUCCAAAACUUAAGUUUUUCCCUCCACUCAGAGCAUCUUAGCAACAUACUAACCAUAAGACUCUAAGCGCUCUUACCCUCAAUGCAAUUCUCACUGAAUAUCCUGUCAGGAGAACUCUACCUCUCUUCCAUGUUAUUAAGGUUAUUGUUCUUUGCAAGGUGUACACAACACAAAUAUAUUUCUUGGUGAAUGAACUCACUCUCAAAGACUGCUGUCCUUGGGGAUAUAGCCAACAUGCCAUAUCCACAACAUAGGUCUUCUUUACAGUCCUGUUGAAACAUGUAAGAUCAGCUACUAAGUCCCUGCAUCUCAGACAGGAACUUAAUAGAGUACAUUUAAAAAAAAAAUUCAGAAGUAAUUAAAACAAAUUGCAUACAAGCCACCUGUUUAGAAAGUUCAUAAAUUUUAUGCAAUUAUUUAUCUCUUUAUUUUUUCUGAAAUCAAGAGCAGAAUGUAUCCAAGUGAAACUAAAAGAGCGAGGUCAAGGGGAAACAACACAGGGCUUGUGGAGUCAUAAAUAUGUAUUAAAGCAGCAGAGUUAAUUUUGUCCCAAGUUCCAUAUUGGCCAGGAAAAAAGAAACAAGAUCAGCAGAGUUAACAGCUCUCAACCUGAAUAUGCCUCAGAAUUUCUAGGAGGACUUAAGUAAUGAGAUUCCUGGGUUUCUACAUGGACCAACUCAAUCAAACUCUUCAGGAGACAGCUGCUGUUGUUAGACUGUGUCUCCCAAAAUUCUUGUGUUGGAAACUUAGUUCCCAAUGUAAUGAUACUGGCAGGUGUGGCCUAGUGGGGGGUGUUUAGAUCAUGAGGGCUUCAGCCUCAUGAAUGGAUUAAUGUUGAUAUCUCAGGAGUGAGUUUCCUCUUGCUCUCUGUAGCCCUCUCUCUUGCCACAUGAUGACUUCCACCAGGUUAUGACUCAACAGGAAGGCCCUCACAAGAUGUGGAACCUCAAUCUUAGACUUCUCAGCCUCCAGAAGUGAGCCAAAUAAAUUUCUGUUCAUUAUA